GCGAUGGAUUAUUAAGGGUUCUGGGGUUAACCCUGAAGUUGGCAGCAACAAUUUUAACGGGUGUGGACAAGGAGACCAAGACUAUUCCUAUAACUAUCACAUAAACCUUACCCGCUUUGCACGUCCCCGUCACUGCUAAGUGGCACUACAUGUCUGCCUUUGUCAGCAUCUCUGGUAGCAUGGAUGGCAGUUCGGGCAUCCAAUGACAAGACGGGUAUAGUUCUGGUGGUUCUGGACAUGACCAUAAUGGGGUU
Long non-coding RNA from Hibiscus syriacus, 254 nucleotides. RefSeq lists it as uncharacterized. The record is from RefSeq and is a predicted model, not a curated record. The transcript has 3 exons. Lineage: Eukaryota; Viridiplantae; Streptophyta; Magnoliopsida; Malvales; Malvaceae.